CACCCACACCUUUUUGCUAACCAACAGGAAUCUCGAGGACGAGAUUCAUCUUAAGGGGGUUAGGUCUGUAACAUCCCAAUUUUCAAAACCCUUCAUAUGCAUUGCAUAUUAUAAGCAUCAUGUCACACUUGCAUUUAAUCACAUUUGAAAACCCUGAAAUUUACCCAGAAAACCCCUAUUCAAAUGUGCUUUUAUUUGAUUUUGGGCUUUGAUCUUGCUUUUGAGCAUUUUGUAUUUUAACCCGUUAAGGUUUUGGUAUAAAAAAGGAUUUAAUGCAUAUAUAUAGCUAUCCCAUAAGUUUGCUUUUGAAAUUAUUUUGAAAAACAAUUAUUUUGAGGAAAUUCUUGUUCCAGAAGUUAGAUCAUGUGAAAAUAUGAUUUUACAAAUUUUGUUGCAAUUUAUUUGGAGUGAUUUGGAGCUCUAAAUCAAAAGUUGUGUUCAAAAUCAGAAAAUAGAAAAAAGAAAAGAAAAACCGAAGCCGAACCGGACCGGACCGGCCGAACCGGACCGACCGGCCAAGCCCGCGCCCGAACCGCCCAGUCACUGACCGGUGGGACCCCCACCAUCGUCUUCCUCCAACUGCUACCCGAGAAGCCCGGCCACGCACGAGUCCACGUUCGUCCGAGCCGCGCACGACCCCCUCGCGUUUUCUCCGCACACGAGCCGCAAUCCCCGAAACCUUGCGCGUCAUCUUGAGCCCCUCUCGUUUCUCCUUCACUUCCCCCGAACCGUCUCCCCGAUUUCGCGCUGGUGAUUCACUAAUUUCUCACCGGAG
RNAcentral lists this long non-coding RNA (775 nucleotides) under Brachypodium distachyon (stiff brome). RNAcentral describes it as "long non-coding RNA (BDIS_LNC003006)". Lineage: Eukaryota; Viridiplantae; Streptophyta; Magnoliopsida; Poales; Poaceae. The record is from RNAcentral.